UGUGACAGAGCUCGGUGAGCGUGCAGGCA
This 29-nucleotide non-coding RNA is filed under the name Homo sapiens (human). Lineage: Eukaryota; Metazoa; Chordata; Mammalia; Primates; Hominidae. The record is from RNAcentral.